CCUACGGGAGGCAGCAGUGGGGAAUAUUGCACAAUGGGCGAAAGCCUGAUGCAGCGACGCCGCGUGAGGGAUGACGGCCUUCGGGUUGUAAACCUCUUUCAGCAGGGACGAAGCGAAAGUGACGGUACCUGCAGAAGAAGCACCGGCCAACUACGUGCCAGCAGCCGCGGUAAU
RNAcentral lists this ribosomal RNA (174 nucleotides) under uncultured bacterium. Its description in RNAcentral is "partial 16S ribosomal RNA". It matches the Rfam family "Bacterial small subunit ribosomal RNA", at positions 338 to 524 of the family's 1533-position model. RNAcentral also lists the same sequence under 1 other name. The record is from RNAcentral.